GCAUUGGUGGUUUAGUGGUAGAAUUUUCGCUUUCCGUGCAGGAGACCUAGGUCAAAUUCCUGGUCAAUUCA
RNAcentral lists this transfer RNA (71 nucleotides) under Loxodonta africana (African savanna elephant). It matches the Rfam family "tRNA". From Rfam's summary of the family: Transfer RNA (tRNA) molecules are approximately 80 nucleotides in length. Their secondary structure includes four short double-helical elements and three loops (D, anti-codon, and T loops). The record is from Rfam by way of RNAcentral. Lineage: Eukaryota; Metazoa; Chordata; Mammalia; Proboscidea; Elephantidae.